AUGUGGAGAUUUUACAAUCGACACUGUAAAAGUACAACUCUGCCAUCUAGCCUAAAUACAAAGACAUUACACUUAGAAUUGUUUACAAAAUCUGAAGGACUGCGGGUUGUCUCUCCAAACAUCACAUUACACCCUGUGUGGGAAGGUGUAAUCGGGGCCUCACCUGUCAGACUCCUCUGCACCCUAAGUGGCUUCUUUCCAGACCAACUGAGUGUGAUGUGGCAACGGGACAACCAAUCUCUAAACAUUGUGCAAACCCAAAGGAAGCUGCAGAGUGUGAAGGGAGUGGAGAAAACCUUCAGUCUAAGCAGUGAGAUUGAGCCAAAUAUGAAACAGUGGACAGGUGGCUCAAAUUUUACAUGCAGGUCCACUCAUAUCAAUAGUGAAUUUCAAAAAACAAUAAGUAUUUGUCAAACACAGACAAGCGCCCCUCCUUCCGUUCAUGUGGAGAUUCCCAGCUUCAAGACAGUAAUGGAGUCAACGUCUGAUGUGACGGCAACAUGUUCAAUCCACAAAGUGUUUGAAGCAAUGGUGACCUGGCUGAUGGAUGGGCAACCCGCAUCCAGUAACCAAGUGAACCAGGUCACAAAUACAACUUAUUUAAUAAGCACUCUGACGGUUUCCUCGAGUCGGUGGAAACAACUGAAGCUUCUGAAAUGUAAAGUUGAACAUCGCUGCUUCUCAUCCUCUGAGGAGACAAUAAAUGUUGCAGCGCCCGCAGUUACAGCUCCAUCAGUGGAGAUCAGGAGAUCUCUCCCAGAUUUGCUGAAGGGAAACAGUUCUGUGCUGGAGUGUGACGUCACACAACUCUCCUCCAGUGACCUCUACAUCACCUUUCAGGCCAACAGUGUUGACAUCUCUGACAAACAGUAUGUUGAUCUUCCUGAAGCCCCAGGCCUCCAUUCAGUCAGUAGACGCUUCACUGUCCCUCCAAACUACUGGAAGAGAGACACAAGUUUCACCUGCAAAGUGAAUCAAGGUUUCUCCAGCAGCUUCAAGUCAAACCCCACUGGCAAUAUUUUUGUGGACCCAUCAGUGGAGCUCCUUCAGGUCCCCAAUAAAGAGUCAGGACCACAGAGGAUCUUGUGCUCUGGAUGGGGCUUCAACCCUCAAAUUAAAUGGUUUCCUGAGUCUCAGCAAGCAUCUCCAUCAACGAAUGACAUCAGCAUGAGUGCAGAUGGACGUGUGGCAGUAACCAGUCAACUUCACAUCCCUCAGACAGAGUGGAAAACAGGGAAGGUCUUCACUUGUUUAGUGUCUGACAAGUCUCUGAGUAAAACAGUUGAAAAGAACAUCAGCAUCUGUUCAGUUUAUUCAAGCGCCCCUCCUUCUGUUCAUGUGGAGGUUCCCAGCUUCAAGACAGUAAUGGAGUCAACAUCUGAUGUGAAGGCAACGUGUUCAGUCCGCACAGUGUUUGAAGCAAAGAUGACCUGGCUGAUGGAUGGGCAACCCCCAUCCAGUAACCAAGUGAACCAGGUCACACAUACAACUCAUUUAAUAAGCACUCUGACGGUUUCCUCGAGUCGGUGGAAACAACUGAAGUUUCUGAAAUGUAAAGUUGAACAUCGCUGCUUCUCAUCCUCUGAGGAAACAAUAAAUGUUGCAGCGCCUGCAGUUACAGCUCCAUCAGUGGAGAUCAGGAGAUCUCUCCCAGAUUUGCUGAAGGGAAACAGUGCUGUGCUGGAGUGUGACGUCACACAACUCUCC
This is a non-coding RNA of Micropterus dolomieu (smallmouth bass), 1707 nucleotides long. The record is from the annotation of a RefSeq genome assembly. NCBI's taxonomy places the organism in Eukaryota, Metazoa, Chordata, Actinopteri, Centrarchiformes, Centrarchidae.